GUGAUGUUAAAAAGAAAUAUUUUUUAUACGUAUUAUUGUUAAAUGUAAAUAUUAUUUGUUGGAGAUAUUUAUUAUUGUUCCGUUUUUUAACAUGAAUUUGUUAGCAUUCCAAAUGUUGUAUAAUUAGUGUGACCUAUUGACCUCCCAUAAUAUAUACAGAGACAUAUUGUUUGCCAAAGCUUUGUACAUUUACCUCCGCAGUCAUUUCAAAGUAUCUCUGGCUUGCUUCAUCAUGUGUAUCAUAAAAUAUUACCCAAGAAUGCAGUCAACAAUUUAUAUAUGAUUUCAUCAGGUGCUAAAUUUCUUAUUUGCUUAUUCUCUUUUACUUUGUUUUAUGUUUCUAACUGAAAUGUUUUCUUAUUAGGAAUACUCAGUUACACAGUGUAGAUACUAUUCUGUACUCUAUCCGGAAGUCGCGAUUUUCGAAGCGAUCAUUUCCAACUGGCUAACAGGACGGUUUUGUGCUUACGGUGACUUUUCUCAUCAUUUGUUUAAUCCUAUAUCUAUAAAGUGCUUUGAACAUCUUCAAGGUAUGUAUAGCAUCUUAAAUAUGAGUAACGGUAACAAAAACAUGCAUUAGAAUAUAAAAUAUACGUGUGCAUCACACCAACUUGACAUAAAAAAGUGAAAUCGAUGGAAAAUUUUGCUCUCUUAGUACAAAGC
RNAcentral lists this long non-coding RNA (663 nucleotides) under Mytilus galloprovincialis (Mediterranean mussel). Lineage: Eukaryota; Metazoa; Mollusca; Bivalvia; Mytilida; Mytilidae. The record is from RNAcentral.